RNAcentral lists this transfer RNA (72 nucleotides) under Danionella translucida. It matches the Rfam family "tRNA". From Rfam's summary of the family: Transfer RNA (tRNA) molecules are approximately 80 nucleotides in length. Lineage: Eukaryota; Metazoa; Chordata; Actinopteri; Cypriniformes; Danionidae. RNAcentral also lists the same sequence under 1 other name. The record is from Rfam by way of RNAcentral.
GGUUCUAUGGUGUAAUGGCUAGCACUCUGGACGCUGAAUCCAGCGAUCCGAGUUCAAAUCUUGGUAGGACCU